This is a microRNA precursor of Leersia perrieri, 204 nucleotides long. It matches the Rfam family "MIR812 microRNA precursor family". The record is from Rfam. Lineage: Eukaryota; Viridiplantae; Streptophyta; Magnoliopsida; Poales; Poaceae.
AAUGUCUGUCGCCAUUGACUUUUUAACACAAAUUUGACCGUUCGUCUUAUUCAAAAAAUUUAUGUAAUUAUUAAUUUUUCCCUAUCAUUUGAUUCAUUAUUAAAUAUAGUUUUAUGCAUACAUUUAGUUUUACAUAUUUUACAAAAGUUUUUGAAUAAGACGAACGGUCAAACUUGUGUCAAAAAGUCAACGGUGACAAACAUU